Molecule: ribosomal RNA, 350 nt
Filed under: uncultured bacterium
Lineage: Bacteria
Description: bacterial SSU rRNA
Rfam family: Bacterial small subunit ribosomal RNA
Source: RNAcentral
GGGCCCGCACAAGCGGUGGAGCAUGUGGUUUAAUUCGAUGAUACGCGAGGAACCUUACCAGGGCUUAAAUGUAGUGGGACAGGUCUAGAGAUAGACCCUUCUUCGGACUCAUUACAAGGUGCUGCAUGGUUGUCGUCAGCUCGUGCCGUGAGGUGUCAGGUUAAGUCCUAUAACGAGCGCAACCCCUAUCUUUAGUUGCCAGCGGAUAAUGCCGGGGACUCUAAAGAAACUGCCAGCGCAAGCUGAGAGGAAGGCGGGGACGACGUCAAGUCAUCACGGCCCUUACGUCCUGGGCCACACACGUGCUACAAUGGUUGGUACAGAGGGCAGCUACCUAGUGAUAGGAUGCA